CACGGGGUUUCUGGGGGUGCACGCGCGGAAGUCUCUUUA
Molecule: ribosomal RNA, 39 nt
Filed under: Pilobolus sphaerosporus
Lineage: Eukaryota; Fungi; Mucoromycota; Mucoromycetes; Mucorales; Pilobolaceae
Description: partial 18S ribosomal RNA
Source: RNAcentral